RNAcentral lists this long non-coding RNA (608 nucleotides) under Mytilus galloprovincialis (Mediterranean mussel). The record is from RNAcentral. Lineage: Eukaryota; Metazoa; Mollusca; Bivalvia; Mytilida; Mytilidae.
UUCAUUCUCGACUCCUAGGAGUCGAGAUUAAGAAUUGAACGAUGGACAGUUAGGGCGUGAAUUUGUCUUGCUACCUGAUUGGAAGAUAUUACAAGACGUGAAUAAUCAAAAUUUAUUGAUUGGUUAGGACAAUCCAAACCAAGUAAAUGUCCUUCAAUCCCGUAGAGUAUCGGAUUUGUCCUCUCUAUUUUAGCAUUUAGAAUUUACACAGGUAACCUUUAUCUAUAAAUAGUCGAAUCUUCUGGAGUAAACAACAAGUAAUAGCUUUUCUAAAAAGCUAAGUCAGUGUUCUCCCCAGGCCGUUUUAGCGUCGCGGUACCGCGACGCUAUAUUUUUUCACCGUGAUGCUAUAAUAAUUCCCGCGACGCUAUAAUUAUUCCCGCGACGCCAUAAUUAUUUUGAAGAUGCUAAUACUUGUCCUCAAUUUUGAACUUUCAUCUAUUAUCGAUUAUGAUCAUAAAAAUUAUAUCACCUUUAAUUGUAAUCCCUUUAAGUCGGACACUAAAGGCAAUUAGAGAUUAAAUAGCUAGGUGUUAAUUGCCCUCAGGGUGAUAACUGUUUGGAUGCGAAUAUCCCAAGCUGACACUUGUGACAUGACUAAUACCACG